This is a long non-coding RNA of Gadus chalcogrammus (walleye pollock), 2398 nucleotides long. RefSeq lists it as uncharacterized. The transcript has 3 exons. The record is from RefSeq and is a predicted model, not a curated record. NCBI's taxonomy places the organism in Eukaryota, Metazoa, Chordata, Actinopteri, Gadiformes, Gadidae.
GUUACUUAAACAGAUGUUUUACAACUCCGACAAUAUGCCAAAAUGAAUUGUAAAGACGGACUCUCAGCACAGCAAAAUGCAAAUGCUGCGACUUUCUUCAACAUACUUCCGGGAGUAGGCUGUAUGCCAUUAAGAUUAAACGCCGCCAACCACUUUCGUAGCAGUUUCCUAAAUGCUAACCAGAUAGCAAGGCUACUCCAGGUAAAAGAUUCAGCUGGUACGCCACUGAAACGCACCAGGCAGGUGUAGUGUGAGCUCCACCACCACCACCACCACCACCACCUCCGCCACCUCCUCCUCCUCCCCAGCCUCCCUUGCUUCCCCUCCACCCUCCGCCGGCGAGUUAGGCCUGUGGACGGGCGCGGGAAUGCAGGUGUGACAUGUUAGGAGGGGCCCAGGUGCUUAUUGAGUUAUCAGGAUGUUGACACUGCUCGUUUCAUCUAUCAUGGGCUUAAGCAUUGUCACGUCGGAGCCACUGUUCCCCGUCGGGCGGAUAGAAAAGACAAUAACAACAACAACAGCUGGAACGGUUAAGAGCCCCUCCGUCGUUUUUGUCCUCGUGUGCAUAUCUUAAGCAGGCGGUUAACGGUUGUGUGUGUUUGAAGGUACGGCGGCGGCGGCGGCGGCGGAGCUCGUACCGUUUAACCACGCAUUAAGGAGGGAUUUAAUCAACUCAAGACGGCGGGCCUGGGUAGGAUCCCUUGAAUGUACCGCGCUGAACGUGGCACCGUCACCAAGGGUUGUUUAACACGCCUCUAUCUAGCCCACAGUUAGCUUAACGGAGUCAUUGUGAGUGCAUUAGGGCCAAUUACAGUGUGCUUGGAUGCCCCAUAAACCAUCUGCAUUAGAAGCGGCUUUGUCAGGAGAUCAUGGGGUGGUUUGUGUGCGACAUGAAAGGUGUGUUUCUACCUCUCGGUCUUCAUCGCCAGCCCGGCGCCAUUCAGCACAUAAAGUGAAGCCAGAUUUACGGUGGAAAGGUUUUAACCCCGGGACUAAAACUCCAUCUGAUAAACAAGCAAUCCUUGCUUGAGGCUAAAUAAUUCUCUUUGAGGUCGGUGAUUUACAAUGCCGUGAAGUAUCUGUUUGUGGGGAGGCAGCUCGGAGGAACGCAGCGCUGUGAUUGGUCAUCCGUGAUCCAAAUUUGCUCCCGGAUCUCUGGCUCACGAGUUUGAGGGGGUUUCUAAAUGAACAAAUGCAUAAAUGAUAGCAGGGGUUUAUUCAGUGUUAAUAGAUGAAGAGAAAUGAACUUUUCAGAGGUUUAGACGGCUGUUCGAUUUAACGAAAUCCUCGCCAAUUCCCCCUGAUUGAGGGCAAAAGCGAGGCGGCGGCAGCCAAUCUCAUUUUCUUGGCAUUUUAAAGAGAACUCAUUGGGGUAUUGGUCCACUACGCAGACUCCUAAGAGAUCUGAUUAAAGGGAAAUCCCUCAAUGCCUUACCCUCACUUUCUCUGAAAUAAAUUAGGUGCCGGUUGCAAAUGACUAAAUUCAUCUUGCGAUGCCUGGCCUGACACACAGAAACUGAGAGACUAACCGCUGCAGAAAGGGAUAGAUGUCCAAAAACACAAAUUGUUUCUUUUUUCUUUUCUCGCAUCGCAUGCCUGUUACUCCCGGCCCCUUAAGGUAGAGGAACUCAACUCAGUAGACAGGUUUCGUUCCUUAGUGUCAGGCAUUAGCACACCUGAUAUUUCUCAGCGUUUGCAGCUAAUUUCCUAACCGCCUGGUUUUCCAGGUUUUUGGGAUAGCGGAGCUCUCCGUGGAGUGUAAGAAAUGUGUCCAUCAUCUCUGUAAUAUUGUGGUGAUUGCAUGGAAAAAGUCUGCCGCAGCCCAGUCUUCCAUCUCAAAAAUAAAAAAAGGCUUAUAUAAUUCUGUGAACAACUGUAGACGAUUGGCCCAAGGUUAAAUCAUGAGCUGUAAAAUGCGUUGUCAAAGCUCAUAAAUUCAGUGUAAUUUUCUUUUUAGCAGACUUUAGGAAAGCGAGAGCUAAUUCCUCAUUCCCGUCAUGCGCAGGCCCGUGUGUUUACAUAUGCUCGCUGCGUGACAGAAACUUCGCUGUCCUUGAUAUUAUAACCAGGCAUGUAUGUUUUUUUUUUUUCUUUUUCCAUUUAUUCAUGAGUAAAAAAAAAAACAUCAUUCCAUCUCACGAGGAUUCCAUGUGGACAAACACACAAAACUAAAUAUUACUUCUGCAAGCAACAGUAUUGAGUCCGAUGUACUUUUCUCUCCUCAGUGAUAAGCUUCGCCUUAUUGACAGUAAACAUAUUCACUGGGGUCUAGGCCGUCUCGAGGAAAGGUGAUUAUAUCGGUUCGGCUUGUUCCUGCUCAAGCAUGCGUUUGUAUCCUCACAGUUUUGCAGACUGUCAGAGUUGCUGUGGUGAUUCUCGGGGUAAAGCCCUUGCUAUA